UGUCCGUUUUCUCAAACCACAUACUGGACCUGCAGGUUUUGUUUCUUCCUUCGCAUCUUGUUGUCCCAGCUGAGGUUUCUCUCACCCCCAGUAGCUCGAUCCAUCUCCGAGGACGUUUAGAGCUCACACAUGUUCUAGCUGUGGUAAAGAGGAUCUUGCAGUACCGGAGAAAUACAUCCUUGCCUUCCUGCACUUGUAGAUAAAUAUAUAUGUUCGAAGGCUUGCUGGAUAUAUGAACUACCAUCUGCAGGUCUCUUGGUUAAUCACCGGUAGACUGUCUGUGCAGACCCAACAUAAAUAAAUAGUACAGUGGGGAAGUGAUCGAUAAUGCUUUCCUU
Populus euphratica (Euphrates poplar) is the source of this 338-nucleotide long non-coding RNA. RefSeq lists it as uncharacterized. The record is from RefSeq and is a predicted model, not a curated record. NCBI's taxonomy places the organism in Eukaryota, Viridiplantae, Streptophyta, Magnoliopsida, Malpighiales, Salicaceae. The transcript has 2 exons.